UUCUUUCUUUUUUUUUUUUUUUUCUUUUUCUUAUAUAUUACUAUACUAAUGUUUUUUGGGAUACAUACCUCGGAAUGAAUUUGGAAAUUCAAUUGAUGGUCUAUUGGACGCGAGGAAGGUCUGAUGAAGGGUUGUGGGCACACGAGUGGAUAAGUUUUGCAAGUCAAAGAAGCCGAUAAACGAGAGAGAUCAGCGACGAUGGGCGAAAGAAGAGGAUCGCGAACUGAGCUACUGGACGGCGUUCCUUGGUUCAAGAGUCUUUUUCGGCUAUCCUUCAUCUGAAUCACGGAAGUACGGUUAAAGCUUGGUGUAUAAAAGGACUUCCGGUUGGUCACCAUUUUUCAUCAUCAACUGGCCCGGAUCAAUUCCGGUGGCGGUGAGCAAAAACCCUCCGUUGGCGGCAGAAAAUCUGAUCGGUACGUUUGGGUUCGGUGUGCGGCAGCGAUCGAAUUCUGGGCGUGCAAUUCUUCUAGGUGCAGGAGUCUUGAUUUUGCUGAUUACAUUCGCAGCAGUGGCAAUACUUUUGAUAAGCUUCCUUUUUAUCAUUUAUCAAUGUAUUUGGCUUGAAUAUUUUAAUUAGUUCAUUGAGUUGGAUUUUUAAGUGGUAGUUGAUUAGGAGUUUGCUUCUGCAAUAUUAAUUCAAAUUGGAAUACUGUGGCCGUAGCUUUGAUUAAGCACCUCUUAA
Ipomoea triloba (trilobed morning glory) is the source of this 685-nucleotide long non-coding RNA. RefSeq lists it as uncharacterized. The transcript is spliced from 2 exons. The record is from RefSeq and is a predicted model, not a curated record. NCBI's taxonomy places the organism in Eukaryota, Viridiplantae, Streptophyta, Magnoliopsida, Solanales, Convolvulaceae.